RNAcentral lists this ribosomal RNA (653 nucleotides) under uncultured marine bacterium. RNAcentral describes it as "bacterial SSU rRNA". It matches the Rfam family "Bacterial small subunit ribosomal RNA", at positions 818 to 1482 of the family's 1533-position model. The record is from RNAcentral.
AGACGUUGGAAAUUUAUUUUCAGUGUCGCAGGGAAACCGAUAAACACACCGCCUGGGGAGUACGACCGCAAGGUUAAAACUCAAAUGAAUUGACGGGGACCCGCACAAGUAGUGGAGCAUGUGGUUUAAUUCGAAGAUACGCGCAGAACCUUACCAACACUUGACAUGUUCGUCGCGACUCUAAGAGAUUAGAGUUUUCGGUUCGGCCGGACGAAACACAGGUGCUGCAUGGCUGUCGUCAGCUCGUGUCGUGAGAUGUUGGGUUAAGUCCCGCAACGAGCGCAACCCUCACUUUUAGUUGCCAUCAUUAAGUUGGGCACUCUGAAAGAACUGCCAGUGAUAAGCUGGAGGAAGGUGGGGAUGACGUCAAGUCCUCAUGGCCCUUACGUGUUGGGCUACACACGUGCUACAAUGGCAUCUACAACAGGAAGCGAAACGGCAACGUUAAGCAAAUCCCGAAAAGAUGCCUCAGUUCGGAUUGCACUCUGCAACUCGAGUGCAUGAAGCUGGAAUUACUAGUAAUCGUGGAUCAGCGUGCCACGGUGAAUGCGUUCCCGGGUCUUGUACACACCGCCCGUCACACCAUGGGAGUUGGUUCUACCUUAAGGCAAGGUUUUAAACCCUUGACCACGGUAUAGUCAGCGACUGGGGUG